UGCCAGCCUCCGCGGUACUCCUGAUUGUGCAAUCGUUAAUCGGAAUUACUGGGCGUAAAGCGCGCGUAGGCGGCUUGGUCAGUUGGAUGUGAAAGCCCAGGGCUCAACCUUGGAACUGCAUUCAAUACUGCCAGGCUAGAGUACGGUAGAGGGGGGUAGAAUUCCACGUGUAGCGGUGAAAUUCGUAGAUAUUGGGAAGAACACCAGUGGCGAAGGCGGCUAACUGGCUCGGUACUGACGCUGAGAUGCGAAAGCGUGGGGAGCAAACAGGAUUAGAUA
This 279-nucleotide ribosomal RNA is filed under the name uncultured bacterium. Its description in RNAcentral is "partial 16S ribosomal RNA". It matches the Rfam family "Bacterial small subunit ribosomal RNA", at positions 506 to 784 of the family's 1533-position model. The record is from RNAcentral.